AAAGUCGUAACAAGGUAACCGUAGGUGAACCUGCGGUUGGAUCAUUAAAAAGUAUCCAAAUACGUUCUCGGUCACGCGUGAAUGCCUUUGUUGCUUACGCACGAAGGCACUCUGCUGACAGAGGUAAACGUGCCACAUUUUGUCAAUUGUAUUGUCUUUGGUGGGUGGACGGGGUCUUUCUUUGUGAACGCUCUCUGUCUGUCAGCUCGGAUGUUCUGCAUCUGGGCCGUGGACAACCCACCAAUCAACCUGCAUAAACAUUUUUUUAUUUUUUUGUCUGACAUUUUUAUUUGUAUCAAUAUACAAACAACUUUUGGCAACGGAUCUCUUGGCUCUC
RNAcentral lists this unclassified non-coding RNA (337 nucleotides) under Chytridiomycota sp. Its description in RNAcentral is "partial contains small subunit ribosomal RNA, internal transcribed spacer 1, and 5.8S ribosomal RNA". The stretch from base 1 to 47 matches the Rfam family "Eukaryotic small subunit ribosomal RNA", at positions 1785 to 1831 of the family's 1831-position model. The record is from RNAcentral. Lineage: Eukaryota; Fungi; Chytridiomycota.